This is a long non-coding RNA of Talpa occidentalis (Iberian mole), 1803 nucleotides long. RefSeq lists it as uncharacterized. The record is from RefSeq and is a predicted model, not a curated record. The transcript is spliced from 3 exons. NCBI's taxonomy places the organism in Eukaryota, Metazoa, Chordata, Mammalia, Eulipotyphla, Talpidae.
UCUCGGCGGGUCGGUAUCAGUGUGACCUGCCGGACCCCCAGACCCAGUCUGGGCCUCAGUGGCCGCGCCUGUGAAGACUAGCUUCGGCCCUCCCGCGGCUGAGAGUGUGAAAAGGGGUGGCGUCCAGGCGCCUCAGUGUUUCCCAAAGGAGCUUCUUGACUUCAGGACGCUAGACCUCGCUGCUGGGGUGCGCUCCUCUCCACCCCACCCUCCCAGACCUCACCGCCACCAGCCCGCCGACCUCCCGCCGACCUCCCGCUGACCAGCUCUGACCACCCGCUGACCUCCCGCUGAUGGUUGGCACGAGAGUCACUUUGUAACCAUCACAGCACUGUGAUUCAAAAGGUGGAACAGGCACUGUGAAAUAGGGAUGAGAAUGGCACCCGCCCCUUGAUGAGCAGCCCCACGAGCCACAGGGCCGACCCUGGAUUCUCUGUGCCAGUUUCUCUAGUGCUGUCCCUCCUCACCCCUGACCUGACUCUGCCUACCCUGGCUUCCUGGGUAAGUCCCUGAGGCACUAGAUGUGCCGCUCGUGGCUCCAGAGAGCUCUUCCUGAGCCCACAAGUGGUGCUGCCUGCCCCUCCCAAUUCCCAGCCCUCCAGGGUGGCCUCCAUCCCACCCGACCCCUCAAAGUCCAGGGUCCUCUAUUUGGCCAAGGACUUACCCAGACCAGUUAGUGCUCCAUGGACCUCAGGGAGUGCACAUCCUGGGGGCUGAAGUCGGGGGCCACCUGUGGACCCCACAGGGUCAGCCAUGACCGGGUGCUGGGCCUCUGGGCGCCGAGUGGCCCUCCCCACCACACCGGCUCACCUGCUGCCCAGAGUUGUGCUUCCGCCGCCGCCUCUUCCUCCUGCGCAGGCACCGGACCACCAGCACCACCAGCAUCACCAGCACCACCAGCAGCAGGAGCAGCAGGAGCAGCCGAGGGGUGUGAGGGGCUGGCAGCGCUGUGGCCCCCAAGGCCCUGGGGCUCCUCGGGGACAGAGGGGUGGAGGACUCUGGGGGGAGAAAGGAGACUGGGUGACAGAAGAGAAAGGCCCAGCCAGGACAAGACAGGCAGGCCUGCAGGGCACUAGCUUUGUGACCCCGGGCGGGCUGCCGGCCUCUCCGAGCCUCAGUCUGUUCGCCUGUAAAAUGGGAGAGGCAGCACCUCCACCGCCUAAGGGAGUGUGAAGUGCUGAGAAGGGGUGUCUGGCACCGGGGGGUUGGCUUUUAUUUUAUAACUGGACAAACUAGCGAUGUGCCACUUAAAGACGUUUGGGUCAAGGACAGAGCAGGGGGGGACAGCAGGUCCAGGAGGCGGUGCCCAGGGGCGUAGGAGGCCCUGUGGAGCUGUGUGUAACGACUCUCUGAUGUUCACAGGAUGAAAUCUCUGAAGAUACAUUUCUCAGAAUGUCUCCUGUCAAGCAACUGUCUCUUUUUUUUUUAAAGAUUUAUUUAUGCAUUCAAGAACUGGGGUACAGACCAGAGGUGUGGGGGAUGAGCGGAUUCACCGAGAGACAGAGUGGGGAGCAGAACAGGCAGACCUACUAAAAUCCACUGCUGAGGGGAGACAGGAGAGGUCUGCUGUACCCUGUGGGUAGUUCCCUGGCCGGGGAUCGAACUCCUGCUGCAGAGGCUGCGAACAGCUUCACAGUGCUGUGCCUAACCCUUGAUGCCACCAGGGAGGCCCCUAGCAAGUCUUGACUGGAUGUUUCUAGAACUUAUUAUCAAUUUGGGUCUAGCCCUUCCUCCCCUAACAGUCUGUGAGCUCCACGUGGGCAAGAAGAACAUGGUCCAUCUUAUUUACUGCCAGAGUCUACA